CUUAUUCUAAUCAACAUCAAAUAGAUGAUGUAGUUGAAAAAAAAAUGUCUUAUAACUUAUGAGCAAAUUUUCUGUGGCAGAAAAAAGAAAUUGUAUUGACCAGAACAUUUACGCGGUGAUCGGAAAAAGCAGUCCAAACUCCAAAUCAAUGUCAAUGUUCACAUUCACCUAUGAAAUCAAAGUGAAAAGUCAUUGCUAGUCAAAGUUAAAUAACAAACAAAUCAAAGGGAGAGGCAUCAAUAUGCAAAUGUCUCAAAAAGCCACAAUAUGCAAAUGAAAAAGAAGUGAAGGUUCGGACAAAUGUACAACACAGGUUCUUGGAAUCCCUUGCAGAUUUGGUGAUCGGUGUCGAGCUAAUUCAUGUAAAAUCAUAAUUAAUUCAAAAGAUUACCAUUUACUUUGCUCUCUUUCCUUCAGCAUCUCCUCAACCAAACAAAGGAAAGGAAAAACUUGAGUUUCCUUCUUCUCUUCCCUCAUCCAUUCCUCAAAUUCUCCAUUUCGUCUGUAUUCUUUCCUUCAAAUUAGAGAUCAAAGUUUAAAAUCCUUGACUGAAUCAUUAUUCAACUCUAUUCAACUAAAUUGGCAUCAAAGAAGAAUCUAGCUUGCACUUGAGACUAAGCCUUUAAAAAAAAUAAGUGAAAAUUCAAAAGCUAGAUUGAACUUGCAAAUUGGUUUCAAUUUAUGUAUCAGACCACUUGGAUUCGAUGUAGUUGCUAUAUGAGCGCAACAACAAAAAUGAGUUAACUCACAAGUAGUCCACAUUGAAUUGAGACUAAUCCCAAAGUUCAUUGACAUGUACUUCAAUAUUACAUCACGUGUGUUAUUAGUUUACAAUACAAUACAUCACAUUCAAGAAAUCUGUCUUUCUUAUUUAAUAAUUGACCUGGACUUGAUAGUUUUGGCAAAGGGAGGCAGCAAGCUUGAGGCAACAACUACAGUACUUGCAAGACUACCACAGGUACUCAAAACCUCCACUAAUUCAUUGCUAAAACACUCUCAAAAAUAUUUCAACUUGUAGAUUUAAUGCAAGAAGUUAACUAAUUUUGUAGAUAAUACAAUACUUUUAUCUUUCUAAAUUUGCUAAGAAUUACAUAAAUGAAUCAUGCCCCAACAUCAAAAUUUUUUAGUAGUAACAAAUGGAUUACUGUACUCAUUUUAGAACUAGAUUUCAAUGUUCAAUUAUACUUCCCUUCCUUAAAGAUACAAGUAUUGGGCUAAACAAGGCCAGGUCUAUGAUUUAUUUUCAACAGGGAUAAGGUGAUAUGUAAUAUUAAAUAUACCAAAUACUCUACCACAAUCACAAACUAUCAAAAAUCAAAGAAAAGAAUUGCUCACCUGAAUAUGUUUUAACUUUGCAAGAAAGAAACUGUGCUCCAUUCCAACCCCUUGUUUCUUUUUCUUUUUUUUUUCAUAGAUUUACAUGUCUUUGUUCUUUUUUCUACUGAAUCUUCUUUUACUUUCGUUAUGGUGUACAACUUUUUUUAAUGGAAAGAACAAGUCAGGUGUUGUUCUGUAGUUUUUUAAAGCUUUGAAAAGUCCCAUAUCAGUCUUUCCUAUUUUACAUGUCAUAACAGCCUAUUAAUUUGCAAAGUACCUAUUAGAAUACUGAUUAUUUUCAAUGUUAAUAAUGAAGCAAUAUGUAUUUUUAUCAUUUUUUCAAUUUAAAUGGCGGCAAAAUAUAAUCUUUAAACUUUUAAACUAUUUUUAUAGUAUGACCAAAGAGACAUUAGGAUUUCAGUGGGGCCAAAUUCUAAAUUUGAAGUCUUCUCUAGACUUUAGUAAUCAAUAACAUUGGACAUGCAUUAGCUUAAAUAACAUCUGACUCAGGCAAUUGAUGGGAGAAGAACUAUCUGGUUUAAGUGUUAAGGAUCUACAGCACCUGGAAAACCAACUUGAAGGGAGCUUGAAAGGUGUCCGCACAAAAAAGGUAUGAUAGCUUCAGAUUUGGAUGAAAUUAUGCCCAUGAUAUUUAAGAUCAGAGAUGAUAAUAUUUACUGCAACUGCUCCUAUGUUGUUGUUCUUCCUCUAGGAACAAAUCCUAACAGACGAAAUCAAAGAGCUAAACCACAAGGUUUCUUUGAAAGUUCUGCCGCAGAUUUUCUUUUUCCAGAUUUACAUUCAUGGAUAUUUUUUGGUCAAGUAACUUCAAUUUAUUGAAUUGCAGGGACACCUUAUUCAUCAGGAGAAUCUAGAACUGUAUAAGAAAGUAGACCUCAUCCACCAACAAAAUACUGAACUUCAAAAGAAGGUAGUUGCCUAGAUAAUUUGAUAAAUAUCCCUUAUUCACCUCAUCCUUCCUCCUUUUACCUUUAUUAAUAAAAUGGAAGUUUACCACCAAGCCAGUACAAUGCUCUUGAAAUUUAACCAAAUGAAAAGUUUUCCUCCUGAUACUCUAAACAGCACAAUUGUUGGGUUUCAGAUUUAUGGAACAAGAGAAGCAAAUGAAGCUAGUAGAAUCUCCCACCCAAAUUAUACUUUCAACAAUGGAUAUGAUUUGCACGCACCUGUUCGUCUGCAGUUAAGCCAGCCCCAACCUCCUAAGAAUAAUGCACCAGCAAAAUCAAUGAAGUUGGGGUAAUUCUUCCACUCAAUACUGUUUUAAAAA
This 2605-nucleotide long non-coding RNA is filed under the name Gossypium barbadense (sea-island cotton). RNAcentral describes it as "long non-coding RNA (GBAR_LNC011089)". The record is from RNAcentral. Lineage: Eukaryota; Viridiplantae; Streptophyta; Magnoliopsida; Malvales; Malvaceae.